GUUAGUAAUUUAAGGUCUAAUCUGCCCACUGAAUAAUUAAAUGGCCGCAGUAUUUUGACUGUGCAAAGGUAGCAUAAUCAUUAGUUUUUUAAUUGAAAGCUAGAAUGAAUGAUUGAACGAGAUAAAGUCUGUCUCUUUAUAAAAAUUAGAAAUUAAUUUUUAAGUUAAAAAGCUUAAAUAUAAGUAAAAGACGAGAAGACCCUAUAGAUUUUAAUUUAAUUAAUAUAUUAUAUAUAAGGAUUAAAUAGUUUAAUAUAUGAUUUUAAAUUUUAUUGGGGUAAUAAAUAGAUUAUAUUAAUUCUUUUUUAUUUUUAUAUAAAUUAAUAAAUUUUUGAUCCAUGAUAAUGAUUAAAAGAUUAAAUUACCUUAGGGAUAACAGCGUAAUUUUAUUGGAGAGUUCUUAUCGAUAAUAAAGUUUGCGACCUCGAUGUUGGAUUAAAAUUAGUUUUAAAUGCAGAAGUUUAAAAUUUUAGUCUGUUCGACUAUUAAAUUUUU
This 495-nucleotide ribosomal RNA is filed under the name Microdytes elgae. RNAcentral's name for it is "partial 16S ribosomal RNA". The stretch from base 372 to 495 matches the Rfam family "Bacterial large subunit ribosomal RNA", at positions 2473 to 2597 of the family's 2925-position model. Lineage: Eukaryota; Metazoa; Arthropoda; Insecta; Coleoptera; Dytiscidae. The record is from RNAcentral.